This is a long non-coding RNA of Oncorhynchus tshawytscha (Chinook salmon), 707 nucleotides long. NCBI's taxonomy places the organism in Eukaryota, Metazoa, Chordata, Actinopteri, Salmoniformes, Salmonidae. The record is from Ensembl.
GUACUUUGACUGCCUAGCCUGUUCACUCAUGCUUGCAGUGUCAGUGGACGGGAACAAGAAGCUGUAUCGUUUCAAAAAAGGGACUGAUGACAAAGGAUUCUUUGAUGGCGUAUUUAUCUGCAAGGAUAAGGAUGUCUGACUUUGUGAACUAUGUCCAUACAAAGACUAAACAUGGUUAUGGAAAAGGGGUAUGUGGAGCAUCCCAGUGGACAGCAGCUAAAGAGUCGUCAAGGAAAACAAACGACAACCUUGAUGAAGAGGGACUUGAAGUUGCCAUCUGCCGCCAUGGAAUACUUCUAAGGAGCCUCAACAUGAUGCGUGGAGAGAUAUUUGCAUACCCACUGUUCUUGCAGAAGGAAUUGUCUGGUAGCAGGAACAUACAAUUCAUGUGUACAGAUGUGAUCUGCAAAUUUUGGCCAUAACUGACCAGGGUUGCUCUUCAUUGUCCAGAGCUCGCCACUCGUCUAGACAUGAAGCCACUUCUUUCUGUCUGUCGUGCAUGCUAGAUUAAGUGGGGAGGACGGAAUCGGCAAGGAGCUGGCACAACUCUGGCGGAGGAAGUGAAACAAGGGAACAGCUUCUUGUCGAGGGCUGCAGACUGUCGGCGGUCGACGUCACUGCAAGAACAGACAUGCUAACCAUCCAUGCCAUGGAACAGAAGGAAGAAGAACAGCCUGCACAGAGUAUUUUCCAGAAGAUACUUGAAG